GUAGGGAAUCUUGCGCAAUGGGCGAAAGCCUGACGCAGCCAUGCCGCGUGAAUGAUGAAGGUCUUAGGAAUGUAAAAUUCUUUCACCGGGGACGAUAAUGACGGUACCCGGAGAAGAAGCCCCGGCUAACUUCGUGCCAGCAGCCGCGGUAAUACGAAGGGGGCUAGCGUUGCUCGGAAUUACUGGGCGUAAAGGGAGCGUAGGCGGAUAGUUUAGUCAGAGGUGAAAGCCCAGGGCUCAACCUUGGAAUUGCCUUUGAUACUGGCUAUCUUGAGUAUGGAAGAGGUAUGUGGAACUCCGAGUGUAGAGGUGAAAUUCGUAGAUAUUCGGAAGAACACCAGUGGCGAAGGCGACAUACUGGUCCAUUACUGACGCUGAGGCUCGAAAGCGUGGGGAGCAAACAGGAUUAGAUACCCUGGUAGUCC
This 425-nucleotide ribosomal RNA is filed under the name uncultured bacterium. RNAcentral describes it as "partial 16S ribosomal RNA". It matches the Rfam family "Bacterial small subunit ribosomal RNA", at positions 354 to 796 of the family's 1533-position model. The record is from RNAcentral.